GGAUAUCAGGAUGAUGUGGCUAUGGCACCUGUCACCUGUUGAUCACCAGAGAGUUGAUUCACUUGAUUGGACUGGCUAGGUGUGUGUUCUCUCCCUCCAUCAGUGUUCCAUGUGUGUCCCUCACAACGCUGCACACUUGGUCAAAGAGGACAAUCAUCGCUGAUAGAGGAAGACUGUUCCUAGGUGAAGAGUAUAUGGCUGGCUACACUGCCAUGCUAGAACCUCCAAGCAAGCUACUCACCCCUAACGGUAGUCAAUAGUGUAGCUGGACAUUGUCAAAAGGUGUCAGUGAAUUGAAUUUUUUU
This 305-nucleotide small nuclear RNA is filed under the name Octodon degus (degu). RNAcentral describes it as "7SK RNA (ENSODEG00000022952.1)". It matches the Rfam family "7SK RNA". From Rfam's summary of the family: 7SK was discovered as an abundant small nuclear RNA in the mid-70s but a possible function has only recently been suggested. Two independent studies have found that 7SK RNA binds the CDK9/cyclin T complex (known as elongation factor P-TEFb). P-TEFb activates transcription by phosphorylating the C-terminal domain of RNA polymerase II. The record is from RNAcentral. Lineage: Eukaryota; Metazoa; Chordata; Mammalia; Rodentia; Octodontidae.